Molecule: long non-coding RNA, 6127 nt
Organism: Ictalurus furcatus (blue catfish)
Lineage: Eukaryota; Metazoa; Chordata; Actinopteri; Siluriformes; Ictaluridae
Exons: 2
Source: RefSeq, a predicted model, not a curated record
GCUUUCAGCAGGAUCACUUCAUGAUCUCCUCCCGCUACAGUUCAGCAAAGUGCCACCGUGUGGAAGUUCAAAAGUCCGCUUCAUGGUGCCAGCCACAACUCUGGUGAAAAGAUCAUCAUUAAUGCUGUUUGCGCAAGCAUUUUUCAUUGUAUGCUGUCAAAUCAGAUCUUCAUACACGGCAACCUUUACCGACAGCAUGCUUUCAAAGUCACACACUUGCAUACCCAAAACACUGGUGUACUGUAGUUAUCCAAUCUAAAACGUAUCAGAUUCUUAACAUGUCGUUGGUGAUUGAUAUAGUGAGAUGUAUCACUGUGUAUGGCUGGGCGAUAUGUAGUUAUAAUAUCGAUAUCGUGAUAAAUGAUUAUGCCAUACACUUCUGAGAUUCGGAGAAUUAAAUGGUACUGAAUGGAUGCCGUUGAUUUUUAUGCUAUUUAAAAAAAAAAAUGUUUGUCUUUGGAGGCAUUAAGGAAAAUUUUUGUCAAACUCGCUUCAAUGCUUUUUUUUUUUUUUUUUUUUUUAUUUUACUAGUGUUUCGCAGACAGUUUGUUAGCUAAAUUAUAAAUCGUGAGGCGCAUUGUAAAUCAUAGACAUGUCCUCAAGUAUCGUGAUAUGAUAUUUGUGUCAUAUCGCCCAGCCCUAUCACCAUCUCAUAACUCAUAUUUGAGUCAUUUCCAGGUUGACUGAAGUUCACUCGAGAGAUGAUCACUGGAAUUUAAAGAUUGAAUGUGUGGCCCAAUCAGGAAAGUGAAUAGUUUCUCGUCCUUAACUGUUUCCUUAUUUUGGGCUUUUCGGAGAAAGCAGUGCAAUUCUGUUCGGGGAUGAGGGUUCUAUGAAAGAAAAAACACGGCAGCUGUCAAUUCCAACUAAGGAAGAAUCGAUCAGUAAUGAAAUGAAUGUGUAGCAAUUCUACUGCGAUAUCUGUUUGGGUUUUCUGUGCCUGUUCUCCCUGUGUCCAUGUGGGUUUCAUCUGGUUUCCUGCCACCUCCCAAAAGCAUGCUGGUAGGGGGCUGUGCUUCACAGACCCCUGGGGGUCCAUCGACUCCACUUUGAGAACUGUGGCUAUGCAGGACCUGAGGUUUGCACAGAGACUUGCCAAGAUGGACUGGAAUCUGCAGGAACAUGAACAGAGCAAUAGAUGUAUCGCUUUAAUAAUGAAAAGUUAUAUUCUUUUAAUUCAAACAGGUUUUCUUCUCCUAUCUUCAGCGUAAUUUAGCUAAAUUGGUUAACGUUUUAUAAACCUAAAUGUGUAUAGUAAUGGAAUGAUUGAGGGAUGCGUCCCUAUCAAUACUGGUAUCGGAUAUCAGUCCGAUACCCUGCUCAUGUACUUGUAUUCGGGGGUGGUGUCAAAGCUCUGAUACUGUGUUAUUAGGGGUGGGUGAGCGCUGUAAUAGUAAACACAUUUUGUCAGUUGCACUGAAAACAUUUUUUAUUUUAUGAACCAGACUAGCUAGACUAGCUUGCAUUCUCCCUGACAGACGAAUAAUAACCAGGUUCCUUUCUUCCUUUUAUUUGGCAGUAAGGCCACAGAGGUGCUGGUGCCUUAAAAAAAAAUUCAACACCAGUUAUACGGAGCUGCUGGAUUUUACAUAAUGGAUACGGCAGAAACGAUGGUUGUUCGCAUAAUAUGCAAAGGCAACACUGCCCUGUCGAGGAAACAUUUGUACACAGUCUGAUAUGAUUAAAAUAUUAUAAGAUCUUAUAUUUCAGUUGUGCUCUAGUGCAGUUAUACUGGAUUAUACGUACAGAGACAAGAUCCUAUAUAAGAUGUGAAAUUUGGCCAGAAUAUGUUCUUGUACAACAAGUUCAGGCUGUUUUCCUGCUGAUCUGUGAAUGCUUUAUGGGCUUUCAUUUAUUAACACAUGGCCUGUACAUCGAGACCCCUGCCUGUAGGUCUGAGUAGUACAUAUGAAAGUCAGAAAGCGAGCAGAGGGUUCACACACUUAGCAAAAAAAAAACAAGCAGCGCUAUUCAUAGCCCUUUCCUGACAGUUUCCCUUGAUGUGUGAAUUCCCUUUUCUGUUCAUGUUUCCUCGUUUGUGAAUGAAGGCAUCUGAAAUUGCAGGCUAUAAUUGGUUGAUUGAAGGCAGUGUUGUGAUUGGCCACGUGGAUCUCUCGUGAUGUGCACCCUCAUUGCCACGUGCCCCAGCCUCCCGUUCUUGCAUAUCGUCCCAUUCAGCUGAGCUGCUUUAUUCCCCAUUUCUCCUCCCAGUCUUAAAACAAUGUGUGCUUCUCCCCUGCUGUCCCUGCAUGAAUACACACACACACUCCCUGCUCUCUCUUUUACUCUCACUUUGCUCUCGGUAAUGUCAUUAGAAGACUUCUUUUUUAGACACAAACUGCACAAACUUAACACUAGGCCUCAUAGGCCUCAACUGUUUGAGUAAAAGAAACAAUUCUUUAUUGUUGUGUUUUCUAACUAGAACUGUCUAUUCUAUUGUUAACAAACUCAAGGGAUCGCAUAUGAAUAAAGCGGAGACAGCACCAAUAUUCAUUCAUUUAUUGGUGUCUAUCCUGGAAACACUGGAUGGGAAUUCACCUUGGAAGGGAUGCCAUGCCAUCGAAGGGCACCAUGCACACACAACCAUUUCAGCUACAAGCAUUGUUUUGAGAGGAAACCUGAGAACCUGACCUGAAUUGUUCAAACCCUCUGUAUGCCCUUGGUCCACCAUUUCUACCUCUCUUCCAACAGGAAGUCAAAUAUUUUCUUGCUUAAACACCAAUUUUUUAUACCAAGCAUGUGUGAGUAUCCUGAGCAUUGGAAGGAUGGCUAUUUUAUAGUUUAGUUGCAAUAUAGACUACUGUGAUGAGAGAGAACAUACCUGCCUUUAGGGACCAUAGAGGGCAAUGUGGAUUAUGCUACAUGCUACGAUGUACUUGAGUACUGGCAGGUUUAGCCAUGUUGAACUUUUGUAUAUCAAAAUGGGUAAACAAUAUACACAGGAGAGGAUGGGACUAAUGUAUUUGUAGUUCUUGUUAAGAUUCUGGUGGUAAUUUGGACUAAUUGGCACAUGGCCAGGGAUUACAGCAAGCUACUCUAGAGGUUAAAAAUACAUGAGCUGUCUUGCUAUGGCUCCUUGGAUCUUAGUUAGAUUCUGGAUCAAUUUUUAGGUCUAAGGGCUUCUGGAUUUUCUGGAUCCAGCAUUUGGACUAAUUGGAGGCAGUCUGGCCAUCCUGUCGUCCUAUUCUCUAUGCAGUUUGCCAUAUAAAGUUCCCUCCAUUAAUAUUGGCACUGUUGGUAAAUAUGAGCAAAGAAGGCUGUGAAAAUGAGUUUUUAAUGUUUAAACUUUUGAUAUUUUGUUUAAAAAAAAAAAUCACAAAAGUACUCUGCUCUCAUGGAUAUCAAACAAUUGCAAACACAACACAGGUUUAUUCAAAAAUAUCUUUAUUAAAUAUAGGUGUGUAACAAUUAUUUGCACCCCUAUGAAUUCAUAUGAGAAAAUUAUAUUUGAAGUAUAUUCCCACUGAUAUUUUAAAUUUUUUUUAAGUACACCUCCGUGACUAGGAACAGGUAAUUGUUCAACCAUGACAUCCUGUUUCACUGGGGUAUAAAUAUGAGGUAAGACAUAGGCCAAAUUCCCUUAGUCAAUCAUAACAAUGGGUAAGACCAAGGUAUAUAGCUGUGAUGUGCAGCAAAAGGUUGUUGGGAAGGGGACAGGAUGGGACUUGUUUUAGAUCAAAAAAGGUGUAUUUAUUUAUUUAUUUUUUAAAUUCCCCCUCAGGUCUACACUCUCAUGUGUUGAUGCUGAAAUUUUUCCUUUCCAUUUGUUUAGCAAAAAUAUUUUUAUAGAUUAAAAUGCGUUUUCGUUGAGAUCUUCCGUCCAUUUUCCAUUCAGUUAUUUUAAAAAUAAUGUAUUAAGAGCACGUGUUCAUUUUCUGUCCAUUUAUGACGUUCCUGUGCAAGAUCUUAUGAAUGCUUCAUUAAUAGAUAUUUAGGAACUGAUGCAGUAUGAACCGUACUGCAUUCUUGAGCUAAGAAGACAUUCACACGAUUCUGUCCCCCCUUUCUGAAAAUACCUCGCCUCAGGGGAAAACUUGAAUGCAUCUCUAGCUAUUUUUAGAGCAGCUAAUUUUAAACCCCUGCUUUUGAAGAGCACCGUUGAUGUGAACGAAUAAAGCCGUCGAGAGAGGCACGUGGCAUCCCAUGCUAUUUAAAGCAGAAUGUUAGCGUGAGCCACGGCCCAGGGGACCCUUUGAAACCGCGACCGCGGCAUCCAAUGAACAGCUCCCACCAUUACAUAACACAGCAAACAUACAGGGACAGCGAAGGAUGGCACCCCACACCCCCUCCCAAAGUUUUUGUUAGGAGUUAGAAAGGGGAGGAUCGUGUCGGAGGAGAAAACGGAAUCCACGUGGAUGGCACACGUAGUUUUUUUUUUUUUUUUUUUAUAUAUAUAUAUAACCUGUCGAUGAGGCUAUAUUUGUCACAGCACUGUCCUUCGUGGAAAGGGCUGGAAUCGUUCAUGCAUCAGUGGACAGUGAGGGCAUGGGCUGUAAAAAAAAAAUAGAUUCAUUCACUGUUGCAUUUCUUUGUGAAUGGUAUUGUCUGGGCAAUGAAUGCACACCGCUGUUGCCUUGCCUGGCACAGCUUCAUUCUUCAAUCUUAACAGUCCCUGUCAGUCAGUAUGCACAGCAUGUUUUACUGCAGUGGCAGUAAAGCCUGCGCAGAUGCAGCGGGAUACCCGUUUGCAGCUGAUGCGGGAGGCGAUACCCGGGCUGUAGCCUGCAUUGUGUGCACAAGCAAGGGGAAGAUGUGUAGAGUGUGAUGCCGAGCCUCGUUGGUAUUCAAGCGCUGCAGCCGUUCCAGACGAGGCUGCAGUGCCUGCCUGGUAUUUUUAAUCCCCCAUUCUUUUUUUAGCCCUCAGACUAUUUUGCGGCAGCAGCGAUGUGCGCUGAGAGGGGGCGUCCUCACUCUUCAGAGAUAAUGCUGGAGUUGACUAGAUUCCUCUCUAGAUUUCACUCAGCUGAUAUUGACUUGUUUCAACCAAUAAUUUUUUAUAUUUUCAUUGCCUUGAGCUGUGCUAAAUCACAUUUUUCCUGCAUUGGUGGCAAUUCAGGGUCUGAGGAUGUACUAUUACACCAUACUUCUAUUUUUAUUGCGUGGAUUGGGAAAAUGAGUGACCCAAUCAAGUAUGACAAUAAAAUAGAAACUAUUAUGAAAGGAACUGGUGAUUUCUUGUGUUUUGACUAUUGACCAAGCUUGUAGGUUAUCGCUGUUAGUUUGUGGAUUUGGGAACGAGUGUGGCAAAGGGCUGGGCGAUAUGUUAAUAUAAAUUUCAAUAUCUUUUUAAUGUUUUUAAAUUUUUAAAAAUGUGUUUUUUCUAUUAUAACACACAAACUGGAAGCAGCUGAUUUGAUGUUACAAUUUUGCGUCUUUAAAAUUUGUAAAUUUCUAUCCAUUCUUCUGUAAGUCCAUCCAUUUGUGUGCAAAUCCAUCCUAGAUAUUUUUGCCCAAUAUCUCGAGAAUAUGAUUGAAUGUUUGUAUAAUUUAUAUGGCAUCAUCAUUGUAACCAGCACAUGAACUGAUCCAAUCGCGAUCAAGGUCACAGCAAGGUCAAAUGUCCGAACUAGUUUUUCAUAAUAACUCUUUAAUGUUUCAAGUAUAUUUUAAGGGUCUUUCAGGCAUGCAAAUUAGUAUGAGGUAAAAUAAUGGGUAAACCAGUGAAGGGCACAGAAGCACUAUGAAAACAAUUUAUUUAUUUAUUUUUUUCAAACUUGCUAUAUAAAAUAUUUUAACUCGUCUCUCUCCUUGCCAAAAUUAAUAAAUGAAUAAAUUUGGAAAAUGAAUCGGAGUCAGAUCCCCUUCUCAUUUGUUUGUUGGUUUGCUUUUGACUCCUCUGCAGAUCUACACUGAUGUGAGUGUGUAGAUUCGCUCUGUGAUGGUCUGUAUCUUGGCUGCGAAAACUAAAAUAAACCUCAAUCAGAGUAAUGAGUUAUGACAGCACACGGUCAAUGAACAGGUGAACACGAUGCCACACAUUGACAUGAAUAUUCAUCACAGUUUUACACAAUUAAGUUAUAACAGAAGCAAUUUGACCAAUUUCCUCUGCAUCUUGACCUCAUCAGAAGACGCUUGGAGAUUUUAUUUAUUUAUUUUGUUUGUUUGUUCCGUACCGAAAAAUAACAAA